ACGGGAAAAUAUUUUUCCCUUGACUUCUACCAUUCCAAAAGAUCGAAAGAGCCGUCUGGAUUGUCCUUUUCUAGUCCCUGUGACAAGUAAACUUGAAGAUCAUUUAGAUGGAAAAUUUCAUCAAAAUUAUCACCUUGAGAACCCCGGAACUCCGUCCACGAUCUAAGAGCUGUUAAGCCAGCAGCUCUUUUAGACGAUUGUGUUGUAGACGAAGUAGGGGUUGGAAUAUUUGGCCUAGCAUGCUCUAACGCCUG
Molecule: long non-coding RNA, 254 nt
Filed under: Nicotiana benthamiana
Lineage: Eukaryota; Viridiplantae; Streptophyta; Magnoliopsida; Solanales; Solanaceae
Description: long non-coding RNA (NBEN_LNC001447)
Source: RNAcentral